RNAcentral lists this ribosomal RNA (274 nucleotides) under uncultured bacterium. RNAcentral's name for it is "partial 16S ribosomal RNA". It matches the Rfam family "Bacterial small subunit ribosomal RNA", at positions 523 to 796 of the family's 1533-position model. The record is from RNAcentral.
AUACGGAGGGUCCAAGCGUUAUCCGGAAUCAUUGGGUUUAAAGGGUCCGUAGGCGGGCAAUUAAGUCAGAGGUGAAAGCCCAUCGCUCAACGAUGGAACUGCCUUUGAUACUGGUUGACUUGAGUUAUACGGAAGUAGAUAGAAUAAGUAGUGUAGCGGUGAAAUGCAUAGAUAUUACUUAGAAUACCGAUUGCGAAGGCAGUCUACUACGUAUAUACUGACGCUGAGGGACGAAAGCGUGGGGAGCGAACAGGAUUAGAAACCCGAGUAGUCC